AAUAAGUUUAAGUUUUUUUUUAAAACGUCAAUAUGUUACAUAACCUUACUUCCAUAUUUUGUUUUCAACAUUUAUAAAAUUAAUUGAAAACUUCAAUAUAUGAGAGAUUAUUAAGUUAAGUGCAUAAAGUGUGAUUUUGACUAGAUUGCGUGUUCUGUGCUAAAAAUCUGCUUGAAAUUAUGCAGUCUGAUGGCCACUCUGCUGGAUUUGUGAUAAUAGGCCCUGGGUUAUUAUGAAAAUCUAGUAAAGUAGUCAACAAACUGCAUAAUAGUUUCCAGCAAAACAGGAAGAUUUCCAGCACAAGAGCAUGCAAGCAAUUCAGCCAAAAACAUCAUGUGCGGUUGGCUUUUAAAGCUCUACAACACAUUGAAUAAUUUUACAAAAUUAUAGUAGUUCAAAGAAAUAUUCUUACAUGUAUUAUAUGAUACUAAUUAUCCAGAUAGCUAAAUCUGCGUAUAAUAGAGUCUGAAUGCAAAUGCAUAGCCAUCUGUGUCUGUUUUAAGCUUGUAUUCUUUAGACAUCUAUUGAAAUAACCUUAUGGUAGGUAAAUGGCAAGAGUGAUCAUUGGAACCUGUCAUAAAGUUAUUUCAAUAGACAUCUACAGAAUAUAAGCUUAACGCAGACACAGAUAGCUAUAGAUUUGCUUUGAGAGUUUGUUAUUCGUAGUCUUGGCUGACAGGGUAAUGUAUUGUAUAUGUUAUGUACUAUUUCAGAAAUAUGGCUUAUGCUGUGGUAAAAUUUCUUGAUGAUAGUGCAGUAAAUGAAGUUCCAACAAAUUGGAUUCAAAAAGAUCAGAAUGAAACAGUAUGUUGGUGGCCAACAACAAAAACAAAAAAUUUAUCAACUUUAAUAUUAAAACGUACUGAACCAGAUGUUAAAACAUGGAUGCAACAUCCAAUAUUAAUUGAAAAAUACUGUAGUACAUUGGGCAAAGCUCAAAAAGUUGCGGAAAAUAAUAAUUAUACUUCCACAGAUGAAGUUGAUUUGGGAAAAGGGUAUAGAAAAAAAGUGCCCAAGCAAUUUUUUUAAGAUAACGAUAGUGAUAACGAAGACAAGAACCUAGAUGAUAUGGAUAAUGAAACAAGUCAAACAAAGAUAUCACAAUGUUGGCAGUCAGGGAAUUUGCCUACAAAUAAAACUGAUAAAACUGCUGAUUUAAUAUUUUCAUCACAUUCACAAGAAAUUUCAAAAAAAGACAAAAAACAAGGACAAUCAAGGAACAAAUACAAAAAAAAAUUAUCCACUAAGGAUAUUCAUAUAGAGAGCGAUUCCGAAAAAGAGAACAUAAGUGAUAAUCAAAGUGACGUAUCGAAAAGUCCAACUGAAAUACCACAAUGGCCUCGUUCUAUAACAGCAGAACGUUCUGAAUAUCAAUCAGUUUCGCCACGUACAAGUAUUAACGAUAAUAAAAGAAAAAAUGUACUUCAACGAAUGCAACAAAAGAUGUAGAGAAUACAAAUUCCCAGAAAAAUAAAUAUGACGAACUGAUGAACAUAACCAAAAAUAUUGAAAGAAAUAUUACUAUUGUAAUUAAAAUGGUAGCUAAACUACAAGUAAAAAUGCAAGAUAUUAUGCAACGUAUAGACAGAAUAACACCUUCAGUAAAAAUAACGUCUUCAACAGAACGAGUUACUAAUUGUUUACCAUUAAAAACAGUUAACGAUAUCAGACAUAUGGAAACUCGAUUACAAGACGAAGAUUUUCUUAAAGAAUAUUGUUUACUGGGAGUGUACACGAUAAUCCUUGAGACCUGCCAAGCAAUUUGAGAAUUGAGCCAAGCAAUUUGAGCAUUACAACCAACUUUUCUCCCAACUAUGGAUAAAAAUUCGUGGAAUAGAGUGGCACAGGGAUUCAUGGAUAAAUGGCAGUUCCCUAAUUGCGUCGGUGCCAUUGAUGGGAAACACAUACGCAUUAAAACCCUUGCUAUGUCAGGAUCCCAAUUUUACAAUUAUAAAGGAUUUUUUAGCAUGGUACUUAUGGCUGCUUGCGAUGGAGAAUAUAAGUUUACAUGGGUGGAUAUUGAAAAGUACAGUUUAUUGAGUGAUGGUAAAAAAUUUAUUUAAACCAUACAUCUGUAAGAUUCAAAAAGAGCAAUCGUUUAUCUUUAUUCCUUUCUCUUUCUAAUCUCUCUUCUUCAAGAUCCUCCUUAGUUAGAAAAGGGUAUGUUCAGGAUGUAGGGGUUCCGAGCGAUUAAUAUGAAACUAUUCUUAUAUUGAACAAGAAUAUAAAAAUAUAUAUAUUGUAAAAAGAACACAAAUACAAUUGUACCCGACACCGCGAUUUAUACAAAAUAUAUCGCUUUACAAAGCUUGACGAUCUCCGACUUUGUCUCUCGACUCGACUCUAUUUUUAAUUAUCCGUCUCCAAGCUAAAUGGCAAAAGCCCUGUCUCCGUCCGUUCGUCUCCUUUUAUCUUCUCUCCAUCCGCCGAACCUGAACUGUUGGGACCGGACUUUCUCCUGUGUCUCCCCCGGAACAGGCUGGUGCUGUCCUUCCUCGUCUAUAUCUUACACAUCCAUGUAAAAAUAUGUUAAAUAUAGAAUUGUAUGUCUUUCAU
Molecule: long non-coding RNA, 2556 nt
Filed under: Harpegnathos saltator (Jerdon's jumping ant)
Lineage: Eukaryota; Metazoa; Arthropoda; Insecta; Hymenoptera; Formicidae
Description: uncharacterized LOC105185669, transcript variant X2
Source: RNAcentral